RNAcentral lists this ribosomal RNA (554 nucleotides) under uncultured Methanosarcina sp. Its description in RNAcentral is "bacterial SSU rRNA". It matches the Rfam family "Archaeal small subunit ribosomal RNA", at positions 325 to 879 of the family's 1478-position model. The record is from RNAcentral. Lineage: Archaea; Methanobacteriati; Methanobacteriota; Methanomicrobia; Methanosarcinales; Methanosarcinaceae.
ACGGGGUGCAGCAGGCGCGAAAACUUUACAAUGCGGGAAACCGUGAUAAGGGGACACCGAGUGCCAGCAUCAUAUGCUGGCUGUCCGGAUGUGUAAAAUACAUCCGUUAGCAAGGGCCGGGCAAGACCGGUGCCAGCCGCCGCGGUAACACCGGCGGCCCGAGUGGUGAUCGUGAUUAUUGGGUCUAAAGGGUCCGUAGCCGGUUUGGUCAGUCCUCCGGGAAAUCUGAUAGCUCAACUAUUAGGCUUUCGGGGGAUACUGCCAGACUUGGAACCGGGAGAGGUAAGAGGUACUACAGGGGUAGGAGUGAAAUCUUGUAAUCCCUGUGGGACCACCUGUGGCGAAGGCGUCUUACCAGAACGGGUUCGACGGUGAGGGACGAAAGCUGGGGGCACGAACCGGAUUAGAUACCCGGGUAGUCCCAGCCGUAAACGAUGCUCGCUAGGUGUCAGGCAUGGCGCGACCGUGUCUGGUGCCGCAGGGAAGCCGUGAAGCGAGCCACCUGGGAAGUACGGCCGCAAGGCUGAAACUUAAAGGAAUUGGCGGGGGAGCAC